Molecule: long non-coding RNA, 573 nt
Filed under: Homo sapiens (human)
Lineage: Eukaryota; Metazoa; Chordata; Mammalia; Primates; Hominidae
Description: HSALNT0362718
Source: RNAcentral
AGAGAAACGCUCCGGCCACCAGGCCUGCCGAGGAGCCGGACACAGCCUCCGGCCCUCGCCAGCCUGGGCCAGGCCUCAGGGGGAUGUCCAGCCGCGGCCUGGAGGAGCCCAGAGUCCCCCAGGCCUCAGGCCUCAGCCUUCUUCUGGGCUCUCAGCUCAAUCCCCAGGCCAGCCAGGGCCAGGCCUACUUUGGCCACCCUUAAAUCAGAAUGUGGGGUCAGGGGUCACAGAAAAGCCAUUUCUCUGACCUAGUGUUUGGCGUCCGGGAACUCUGUGCCCAACCUUCAGACCCUGGCAGUCCUCACUGAGGCCAUUGGCCCAGAGCCCGCCAUCCCCCGAGACCCCCGGGAGCCGCCUGUUGCCACGUCCACACCUGCCACACCCUCUGCCGGGCCCCAGCCCCUCCCAACCGGGACCGUGCUGGUCCCUGGGGGUCCUGCCCCACCUUGCCUUGGGGAGGCAUGGGCCCUCCUCCUCCCACCCUGCCGGCCGUCACUCACCUCUUGCUUCUGGUCCCCCAGGCCUAGCCCUUGGAAGGAGACAGGAGUCUAGGGAGGCUGAAGCCCACUCCCG